RNAcentral lists this ribosomal RNA (253 nucleotides) under uncultured bacterium. RNAcentral's name for it is "partial 16S ribosomal RNA". It matches the Rfam family "Bacterial small subunit ribosomal RNA", at positions 524 to 776 of the family's 1533-position model. The record is from RNAcentral.
UACGUAGGGUGCAAGCGUUAAUCGGAAUUACUGGGCGUAAAGGGCGCGUAGGCGGCCUGCUAAGUCGGAUGUGAAAUCCCUCGGCUCAACCGAGGAACUGCAUCCGAUACUGGCGGGCUUGAAUCCGGGAGAGGGAUGUGGAAUUCCAGGUGUAGCGGUGAAAUGCGUAGAUAUCGGGAGGAACACCUGUGGCGAAGGCGGCCCCCUGGUUGGAUACUGACGCUGAUACGCGAAAGCGUGGGGAGCAAACAGG